Molecule: ribosomal RNA, 292 nt
Filed under: uncultured bacterium
Lineage: Bacteria
Description: partial 16S ribosomal RNA
Rfam family: Bacterial small subunit ribosomal RNA
Source: RNAcentral
GUGCCAGCAGCCGCGGUAAUACGAAGGGUGCAAACGUUAUUCGGAAUCACUGGGCGUAAAGGGUGCGUAGACGGUAUGUUAAGUUCGUCGUUAAAGACUCCGGCCUAACCGGAGCACCGCGAUGAAAACUGGCGUACUAGAGGGUGAGAGAGAGAAGUGGAAUUCCUGGAGUAGCGGUAAAAUGCGUGGAUCUCAGGAGGAACACCAAUGGCGAAGGCAGCUUCUUGGCUCAUUCCUGACGUUGAGGCACGAAAGCGUGGGGAGCAAACAGGAUUAGAUACCCUCGUAGUCC